GAUGAACGCUGGCGGCGUGCCUAAUACAUGCAAGUCGAGCGAACAGACGAGGAGCUUGCUCCUCUGACGUUAGCGGCGGACGGGUGAGUAACACGUGGAUAACCUACCUAUAAGACUGGGAUAACUUCGGGAAACCGGAGCUAAUACCGGAUAAUAUAUUGAACCGCAUGGUUCAAUAGUGAAAGACGGUUUUGCAGUCACUUAUAGAUGGAUCCGCGCCGCAUUAGCUAGUUGGUAAGGUAACGGCUUACCAAGGCAACGAUGCGUAGCCGACCUGAGAGGGUGAUCGGCCACACUGGAACUGAGACACGGUCCAGACUCCUACGGGAGGCAGCAGUAGGGGAUCUUCCGCAAUGGGCGAAAGCCUGACGGAGCAACGCCGCGUGAGUGAUGAAGGUCUUCGGAUCGUAAAACUCUGUUAUUAGGGAAGAACAAAUGUGUAAGUAACUAUGCACGUCUUGACGGUACCUAAUCAGAAAGCCACGGCUAACUACGUG
This 497-nucleotide ribosomal RNA is filed under the name uncultured bacterium. RNAcentral's name for it is "partial 16S ribosomal RNA". It matches the Rfam family "Bacterial small subunit ribosomal RNA", at positions 28 to 507 of the family's 1533-position model. The record is from RNAcentral.